This is an RNA transcript of Cotesia glomerata, 948 nucleotides long. It is a transcript of the gene named 40S ribosomal protein S9, with no coding region annotated. NCBI's taxonomy places the organism in Eukaryota, Metazoa, Arthropoda, Insecta, Hymenoptera, Braconidae. The transcript is spliced from 5 exons. The record is from RefSeq and is a predicted model, not a curated record.
GUUUCUGCUUAAUUCUAGUCAUCGGCUUGGAGCGUUUUAUCAUCCCGUUCCUCCGCCAUUUUCGUCGUUGCUCUACAGACGGUCGGUCGUUACUCUUACCAAUAUAAGAAGUAACGAUCUUUCAUAAUGGUGAACGGUAGAAUCCCAUCAGUCUUCUCAAAGACUUACGUCACACCGCGUCGUCCCUAUGAAAAGGCACGUCUUGACCAAGAGUUGAAGAUCAUCGGAGAAUACGGUCUCCGUAACAAACGUGAAGUAUGGAGAGUAAAAUACACUCUCGCUAAAAUCCGUAAAGCUGCUCGUGAGUUGCUUACUCUCGAAGAAAAAGACCCAAAGCGUCUCUUUGAAGGAAACGCACUUUUGCGUCGUCUGGUACGAAUUGGAGUCUUGGACGAGAGCCACAUGAAACUCGAUUACGUGUUGGGUCUUAAAAUUGAAGAUUUCUUGGAGAGACGUCUCCAGACUCAAGUGUUCAAACUUGGUCUUGCCAAGUCAAUCCACCACGCCCGUGUUCUUAUCCGUCAGAGACACAUUCGAUUGUCUAACGAUUGAACAUGAUCGUUUAGACAAUAAUUGGUUUAAUUUUCGUAAAGGCCACUGAAGUCUAGUUUUUAUGACUAGUACUUUACGCCGCCGUUAACCCGUGAGGGAGCGCUGCCAAUUUUCGGCAUAACGAGGGGGAAGAGAUUACUCUGAAAAUAAUUUUGAAAAUCGUGUUCGCAAACAAGUCGUGAACAUCCCGUCGUUCAUUGUUCGUUUGGACUCGCAAAAACACAUUGAUUUCUCAUUGAAAUCGCCGUUCGGUGGUGGCCGUCCUGGUCGUGUAAAGAGGAAGAACAUGCGUAAGGGAACUGGCGCAGCUGCCGCAGAGGAAGAAGAAGAUUAAACUGUAAAUUAAAUGUUCAAUUUGAACUUUAAAUAAAAUCACUCAUUUACAGUUUAAAAAUA